Molecule: ribosomal RNA, 516 nt
Filed under: Ceratitis capitata (Mediterranean fruit fly)
Lineage: Eukaryota; Metazoa; Arthropoda; Insecta; Diptera; Tephritidae
Description: partial 16S ribosomal RNA
Rfam family: Bacterial large subunit ribosomal RNA (bases 392-516)
Source: RNAcentral
GUCUUUUUGAGUUAUUUUUAAAGUCUGACCUGCCCACUGAAUAAUUUUUAAAUGGCCGCAGUAUCCUAACUGUGCAAAGGUAGCAUAAUCAUUAGUCUUUUAAUUGAAGGCUGGUAUGAACGGUUGGACGAAGUAUAAGCUGUUUCAUAUAAAAUUAUUUUAGAAUUUUAUAUUUUAGUUAAAAAGCUAAAAUUUUAUUAAAAGACGAGAAGACCCUAUAAAUCUUUAUAUUUAUAAUUAUUCAAGUUUUUUGGAUUAAUUUUAUUUUUAUAAUUGUAAAUAUUUUGUUGGGGUGAUGUUAAAAUUUAAUAAACUUUUAAUUAUUUAUUAAAUCAUUAAUUUAUGAGUAAUUGAUCCAUUAUUAGUGAUUAUAAGAUUAAGUUACUUUAGGGAUAACAGCGUAAUUUUUUUUGAGAGUUCAUAUCGACAAAAAAGUUUGCGACCUCGAUGUUGGAUUAAGAUACAUAUUUAGGUGUAGCCGCUUAAACAUAAAGUCUGUUCGACUUUUAAAUUCUU